This is a long non-coding RNA of Camelus dromedarius (Arabian camel), 2081 nucleotides long. RefSeq lists it as uncharacterized. Lineage: Eukaryota; Metazoa; Chordata; Mammalia; Artiodactyla; Camelidae. The transcript is spliced from 4 exons. The record is from RefSeq and is a predicted model, not a curated record.
CCGCGUUUCACACCAGUUUCUCCGUCUCCGGCUCCGCACAGCACCUACAGUUCCUUGAGGUGGUGUAAAGUUAAUUUCUUUAUUUGAGAUUUUUGUUUCUUGAGAAAAUACCAACCUGUAAAUUGAAAUGCAGAUGGAAAGAGAACAUGUAUUCCAGCACUAUGAAAGUCAAACAUGAUGCCAAAGUAAAGUGCAAUGCUUCCAAAAAUUGAAAAAGCAUUCACAAAAGUCCAGUAAGAAGUAUCCAAGCCGAUCUGUUGGGAAACCAAAGAAAAACAGAGCAUUCAUUUUGGGGAGUUAACAAGAAAUAAAGGAUCCAGGGAUUCUGAAAAUAGAAUUCAGCAAUUUAGGCAUGAUUUGGCUUAAAUACUGAACAAUCAAACUAUCCUUGGCUCAGGCAAGAAAUAGGAAAUGUGCUUGGUAUAAGGGAUGAAAACAGCAUUCAUUCAUAUUUGUAAGCGGCAGAGGCUCGCGUGGAGGAAAAUGGGAGCCAGGACGAUGCGCAUGCUGGUCUCUCUACAGAAAUACGGGUACCAACAGAUACUGAAAACCGUCGACUUCGCGUACCUGGAAAUUGACUGUUAUUAUAAGAGCAGAGGCAAUCGUGACAGCGAAAGACUGGUAGUCUGAAGGCGCCUCUCCAUCCUGUCCCACGGUUUGCAGAUAAGCUCCAAGAGGUAUGAAGAAGAGGAUCAUUGAUGUUAAAACUCCAUGCAACAAGCUUACGAAGAAUCUCCUGUAGUUGAAUAGACGACGAUGAUACGUUACCUGUGCAGAGUACCCAUUGAAGAAGGAGUACCAGAAAUGAACCAAAGUAAAUGCAAAGUUUUUAUAGAAGAAGUAUCGCAGGAACUUGCACAUCCUUAUGUAAGACCACCGGCCGUGCACCAGCAGCAGUCUCUGCAGAUAUCUGAACUGGGCAAAGGAGUAGUCACUUGACAUGACAGCUUGCAUGCCUUCCUGUCCACUUAUUCCAACACCAAUGUGGGCAGCUGUGGGGCCGAGGGAGAAGAUACUGUGAAUCAUAAGCUUAUUUGGGGGCAAAACAUUGAGAUGAUAAAAAUGUUUAGUAGCAAUACAGGAAAAAAAAAAAAAAGACAUUCAUGAAACAAUACAUAUGGAAACUCUUGCUCACCAUCCCCUACCUUCAGCUUCUGAACUCAACUCAAAGUCAGGGGAACAAGUUGCCAAACAGAGCACAUGGUUGAGCCUUCAUAAAUAUUUGUGAAAGGACCUCAGGUGGGUGGUAUAUGCCAUUUGGAUUAUCUGCCCAGCUCAUAAGUCAUCCUUCCCACCCACAAGGUGAGUCCCAGGUACCCAUGUGUACCCUGUGUCCCUGCCUCCCUGGCCACAGCUGAGUCAGCCAAGAGCAGGUAUAUAAUCUGGUAGAUACUAUGAACUGGCUCUUAACCUUCAUUCUCCCCUUAUUCUAACUGGAGAGGUAGGAAAGCAAAUAAAAAACCCUACAUCGCUCAGACUCCUUUGCAGCUGGGUUCUCUGUGAAUUCGGUUCCACUGUUUGGACUCACUUGUGACUUGGAAGCAGAAGCGAAUCAGAGCCCAGCAUCUCUUCCCAUUCUGACAUUUCUGCAGCAGAAUUCUUAUCCAUUCUCCAGCUGCCCAAAUGUUGAUAAACCACUGCAAAGGCUUCUCAAUUGAAAAGCUCUUCAGAGGAGCCUCAAAGCUAGAAGCUUCUCUGGUGAGUGACACAGACAUUACAGACAAAGCCUAAAACCUGCUGCUUCAGUCCAUCCAGAAUUUUCAUGAGUACCUAGUCCCUUGUAUUAAUCACUUCCUGCUUAAAGUACCUAAAGAGGUCUGUUUCCUGUAUUACACCCUGGCUGAUGGAAAACCUGAGCUGGGCCAGUCUCUCUUGGCAUUUUGGAAUUAGGAUGGGAUGGAUAUCCUUCUUUCUGGGGGGCAGAGAAUAAAGUAGUUUAGAGAGAGGGUGAGAGAGACAACAGACACUGGGUUCCUGUGUAGCACCAGGUCCUGGUUCUAGCAUUUUCCUGAGGCCUGGCUUCUUGAGCAGCACAAGACAUAUCUGUAUCUUAAAAUAAAUUUCUUUUUCUCUUAAGCUGA